Molecule: long non-coding RNA, 1269 nt
Organism: Gavialis gangeticus (Gharial)
Lineage: Eukaryota; Metazoa; Chordata; Crocodylia; Gavialidae
Exons: 2
Source: RefSeq, a predicted model, not a curated record
AUGACACGCAGUAGGCAGGAAUAGCUUACGUUUCUUUAAGCCCAUUUCAGAACCUGCCAGCAGGCUGGUGUAUCUGUAACCUGGGGAUCAGCAGCCAUCUAAAAUGUAGUAGGAUCAUAGCAGGUCCAUUCUGCUGCUGCAUGUAAAAAGCAAAAAACCAGCCACAGACUAAGGGCAGUAAAUCAGGUUUGCCUGGGAGGAGGAUUGAAGAUGAACAUGAAUGCCUCAAUAGAAGGAAAACUCUUCAGGUGCUUGUGGAACUUGCAUGAAUGGGAAAAAAUAGCAAAUGAAUCGCUCGUUCUAGUUGAAUAGGGGAUUGUUUUAAAAAUUAUCAUCACUGAAUAUCAGAAAUCUGAAAUUUGGUCCCAUUGUUAAAGCCUGGCUGACAUAUUAGAUGCUUCCAUUCACUAGCACAAAAAAUUAAAUGAAAAGCUCUCCUUGUGUUAUAAAUGACUUUAAUUCAAUUUCAGCCCAGCAACAAGUUUGCAAAAACAUAAAUACAUGUGUAACCAAACCAAAUGUGAAAUCGGUUUACCUGGUCAGAAAUCAGCCUCUGCUUUUUUGCUUCCUUCUACAAAAGGUUACAUAAAUUUACUUUUUUGAAGACAACCUUUUAAAACUUGGAUGCAACUACUAAAGAAUCUUAAGAAUUUGGCAAGUAACCCACAGCGUAGUUUCUUUGAGUACAAAGGGAUUCACCCUCCAUAAUAUCCUACUAAUCAGCACCACUUAAAGGCUUCUGAAAAAGUGUGGAUUGAUCAUACGUUGAAAAGACAUCAUUAAAGUUACAGAAACUAUGAAUAGUAACAGUUUAUAGUGGAGGUUGGGGUAACCUAGGGUCUGUAGACACAGGCUUUGGCAACAGGUACUUUCCCCAUAUCACCACGGGCAGAAGCAGCCAUGGAUAGGUCCUACCUAGCACUUGGCUUUCCCCAACCUGACUCAAGUCAUUCCAGUCUGUGGCCUGAAAAAAAGGUUUCCAGCUGCUGUUCUAUAGGAGUCUCUGAACUUCAUGUAUUUUACAUUUUGAAUAAAAAAAGAACAUCAAAGCAGCAUGAAACCUUCAGGGAAUAUCAGUGAUUUCUGACUGGCUGAAAUGUUUUUUUAUGACAGUUAUGUAUCAUUAUGCAUGUAAUUUGUAAAGAUCUCUUCUGCUCCCUGUGCAUGCUGUCUUGUAGGGCCCACCUUUCCUUGGCUGCAUGCAGAUGCUCUGCUGUUGCACCUUUGUGUUUUUUACUGUUAAACCCCCUAUUUACAGAUCCUGGGGGA